Molecule: ribosomal RNA, 1363 nt
Filed under: uncultured bacterium
Lineage: Bacteria
Description: partial 16S ribosomal RNA
Rfam family: Bacterial small subunit ribosomal RNA
Source: RNAcentral
AGAGUUUGAUCCUGGCUCAGGAUGAACGCUGGCGGCGUGCCUAACACAUGCAAGUCGAGCGAUUUACUUCGGUAAAGAGCGGCGGACGGGUGAGUAACGCGUGGGUAACCUGCCCUGUACACACGGAUAACAUACCGAAAGGUAUGCUAAUACGAGAUAAAAUACUUUUAUCGCAUGGUAGAAGUAUCAAAGCUUUUGCGGUACAGGAUGGACCCGCGUCUGAUUAGCUAGUUGGUAAGGUAACGGCUUACCAAGGCGACGAUCAGUAGCCGACCUGAGAGGGUGAUCGGCCACAUUGGAACUGAGACACGGUCCAAACUCCUACGGGAGGCAGCAGUGGGGAAUAUUGCACAAUGGGCGAAAGCCUGAUGCAGCAACGCCGCGUGAGCGAUGUAGGCCUUCGGGUCGUAAAGCUCUGUCCUCAAGGAAGAUAAUGACGGUACUUGAGGAGGAAGCCCCGGCUAACUACGUGCCAGCAGCCGCGGUAAUACGUAGGGGGCGAGCGUUGUCCGGAAUCACUGGGCGUAAAGGGCGCGUAGGCGGUUUAAUAAGUCAGUGGUGAAAACUGAGGGCUCAACCCUCAGCCUGCCACUGAUACUGUUAGACUUGAGUAUGGAAGAGGAGAAUGGAAUUCCUAGUGUAGCGGUGAAAUGCGUAGAUAUUAGGAGGAACACCAGUGGCGAAGGCGAUUCUCUGGGCCAAGACUGACGCUGAGGCGCGAAAGCGUGGGGAGCAAACAGGAUUAGAUACCCUGGUAGUCCACGCCGUAAACGAUGGAUACUAGGUGUUAGUAGUUUCGAUGCUACUAGUGCCGGAGUAAACACAAUAAGUAUCCCGCCUGGGGAGUACGGUCGCAAGACUGAAACUCAAAGGAAUUGACGGGGGCCCGCACAAGCGGUGGAGCAUGUGGUUUAAUUCGACGCAACGCGAAGAACCUUACCAGGUCUUGACAUCUUCUGACAAUCCUAGAGAUAGGACUUUCCCUUCGGGGACAGAAUGACAGGUGGUGCAUGGUUGUCGUCAGCUCGUGUCGUGAGAUGUUGGGUUAAGUCCCGCAACGAGCGCAACCCUUAUUGUUAGUUGCCAGCAUUAAGUUGGGCACUCUAGCAAGACUGCCGGUGACAAACCGGAGGAAGGUGGGGAUGACGUCAAAUCAUCAUGCCCCUUAUGACCUGGGCUACACACGUGCUACAAUGGACGGUACAACGAGUCGCAAGACCGCGAGGUUUAGCAAAUCUCUUAAAGCCGUUCUCAGUUCGGAUUGUAGGCUGCAACUCGCCUACAUGAAGUCGGAAUCGCUAGUAAUCGCGGAUCAGCAUGCCGCGGUGAAUACGUUCCCGGGCCUUGCACACACCGCCCGUCA